This 869-nucleotide long non-coding RNA is filed under the name Homo sapiens (human). Its description in RNAcentral is "HSALNT0300169". Lineage: Eukaryota; Metazoa; Chordata; Mammalia; Primates; Hominidae. The record is from RNAcentral.
AAAACCAGAAAGGUGAGGCUGCCAUGGUCUGCCCUUUUGGGGCACCUCUGGAAGAGGGUACCUCUUCACCGAAUGUCUUCCUUUGUGUGUUCUCACAGGAUGGCAAUCCCAGGUCUGGAUUAAUGCCUGUGUCUGCUGAAAAACAGUGGGACAGACAGUGCUGGUCCAUGGCUGCCUUCAAAAUGCUACUAAAUUUCUGUCUGCCAUAAAGUGGAGAGAAAAAGAGUGCAAAACUAAAACGGGAAGUUUCCUCAUCUAGAAAACAACGAUGAUGAUGAUGUCAGUGAUAACCUAUUUUGUACGUUCUCAUAAAUGUUUUUUAGGGUUUGAAGCAACAUGGAUCUCUCAAAUGUGAGCACCAAGACUGAAAACCACUAAGGAUAAUGAGAAGCUGUCUUUGUGCACACAUUUUGGUCUCCUCCCAUCCAUGCUGGAAAUAGCCACUUCAAUAUCAUCAGAAGGGUAUAAUGCUGGGAGACACUCUCUGGCCUCAUGGAGUUCCCUGUCCAGUUGGAUGGACACAAAGGCAAGAAGACACAGGGAGCGUGACAGCAGCUAUGAGAGGUGUUGGAGCCUGCGGCUGGGGUGGGCGCGGUGCCGGAAGGCUUCCUGAAGGGAAGGGCUUCUCCACCAGAUCCUAAAAACCAACUGGAACAGACUUUUUCCUCCUGCUAUUGGGCAUCAGAAGCCCAAGUUCUCUGGCCUUUGGACUCCAAGACCUGCAACAGUGCCAUGGUUUCCCUCCUGGCCCCAGUGGAUUUCAGUGCUGACUGAAAGUUACACCAUCAGCUUCCUUGAUUCUGAGGCCUUUGGGCAUGGACUGAGUCACCCUGCCAGCUACCCCGGUUCUCCAUAAUCAUGUUAGACAG